Molecule: unclassified non-coding RNA, 516 nt
Filed under: Hevea brasiliensis (rubber tree)
Lineage: Eukaryota; Viridiplantae; Streptophyta; Magnoliopsida; Malpighiales; Euphorbiaceae
Source: RNAcentral
UUUGGGUCAGGAAAAGCUUUUUAGCAUGCUUAGGGAUGUAUUAAGGAACAAACCCAAUGUGGAUGUUGUGAAACUUCAAAAGUCAGGUGGUGUGGUAUCCAGGACUUCAAAAGUCCGCCAGAAGGCCAGGAGUUACAGGAUUAGGGAAUACUUUUAUGGCAUUGCUAAUGACCUCUCUCCACAUUCAAAUAUCGCGAACUUUAGUGACUUGUUUGUAUACCGAAUUGGUGGUGGGCCACAAGCCCCAAGAUCAGCUCUACCAAUUGGUGCAGACCCUGUGGCCAAUCCUCUUAGAGUUACAGCUGUGAAUAUUGAUCGAGAUUUACUCCAUGUUGUUCUUGCUGUUUCAUAUGCUCAAGAACCUGAUCAAAUUGUUUCAAGUAAUAUUGCUGGGUUGAUCUACAUCACAGACAUCGACCUUCAGAGGAGAAAAAUCACUUACCUUACACCAACAGCUGGGGAUCUUCCGAGCAAGUAUUUGAUCAUGGGAACCUUAACAUGGCUGGAAACAUGAAG